AGAUUGAACGCUGGCGGCAUGCCUUACACAUGCAAGUCGAACGGCAGCACGGGAGCAAUCCUGGUGGCGAGUGGCGAACGGGUGAGUAAUAUAUCGGAACGUGCCCAGUCGUGGGGGAUAGCGCAGCGAAAGCUGUGCUAAUACCGCAUACGAUCUAUGGAUGAAAGCGGGGAUCGCAAGACCUCGCGCGAUUGGAGCGGCCGAUAUCAGAUUAGCUUAGUUGGUGGGGUAAAAGCCUAACCAAGGCGACGAUCUGUAGCUGGUCUGAGAGGACGACCAGCCACACUGGAACUGAGACACGUCAGACU
RNAcentral lists this ribosomal RNA (308 nucleotides) under uncultured soil bacterium. RNAcentral describes it as "bacterial SSU rRNA". It matches the Rfam family "Bacterial small subunit ribosomal RNA", at positions 26 to 337 of the family's 1533-position model. The record is from RNAcentral.